RNAcentral lists this ribosomal RNA (1098 nucleotides) under Triticum aestivum (bread wheat). RNAcentral describes it as "partial small subunit ribosomal RNA". Lineage: Eukaryota; Viridiplantae; Streptophyta; Magnoliopsida; Poales; Poaceae. The record is from RNAcentral.
AUGAUGAACCGCAGCCACACCGUCGGCCGCCGCGACUACGUCCUCCUCUCCACAUGUGGGCACAGCGAACUGGCGGAUGACAACAGCACCACCGCGUACACCUUCACGGAAGCAACAAAGACAAUCAAGGUGACCGUCGCCGACCUGCCGUCGCUCUUCUACUUCCACGUCAGCUGCCCCGACCUCCAGGACGACCCCUUCAGCAAGAGGCCGGAGAUCCUCUGGUCGUCGGAGGACCUCGUCCUCUUCCGCGUCGACCUCGCCGGCCCCCACCCACGCCGACGGGAGUUCUUCAUCUACCGGGCCGGGUGCGAGCCGUCGCUCGAUCUGCUCCCCGACGUCAGUGCGUAUUUCUUCAAGGAGGGACUCAAUCUAGCCCUCGCCGGCGUCAUACCCGACGAUGACGACGACGACGACGACGACAGCAGGGGCUUUGUCCUGGCCGUCUUCAAGAGGGACUGGAGGUCGGGGCAGUGCAAGCUCCACGUCUUCAGGUCCAAGCGUCUGCUCGCCGGUUUCUGCGUACCUGGAGCGGCAUGCUACGUCGAUCACUGGGAGGGGAUUCUGCUCUGCAAAAUGCUCGAAGAACCGAUGACGGCGCACUUCAUCGCACUGCCGAACCCGCUGCCCGGCAACCGACGACACUACGACGGAGGGUCGUCAGGACGGUCGAUACGUGACGUCGCCUGCACCGACGACGGUUCGACGAUAACAUGCGUGGAGAUGGAAGAUUUACACCGCAUCAUCAGAAGCGGCGCUCCUGGCCCUGACUCCGACGUGCUCCAUGACUCCGACGCGACCAAGGUGGCGACGGUGGCUGCGUGCUCGCGGCCAGCGCCGACGGCCGGCGCACUCACCGCAGCUCAAGCCGACCUCCCCCACGACAGCACCGUCCUCUCCCCCGGCCCCAACCACCUCCCGCCGCCCCACCCCCACCGUAGAGCUGUUGCUGCUCAUGGCCCGGCCGGCGCAGAGGAGGCGCGGUGGCCGGGGAUGGCCUGGCUGGCCGAGAUGCGGGCGUGGCCGCCACGACGGCUCGACCUCGACCCACGCUCUUCGGCGCACUACUCGAGCAGGUCCAAGGCGAGGCGCGCAUGA